UACGGGGGGGGCAAGCGUUGUUCGGAAUUACUGGGCGUAAAGGGCGCGUAGGCGGCCUGCUAAGUCAGGGGUGAAAUCCUGGAGCUCAACUCCAGAACUGCCUUUGAUACUGGCGACCUUGAGUCCGGGAGAGGUGAGUGGAACUGCGAGUGUAGAGGUGAAAUUCGUAGAUAUUCGCAAGAACACCAGUGGCGAAGGCGGCUCACUGGCCCGGUACUGACGCUGAGGUGCGAAAGCGUGGGGAGCAAACAGG
RNAcentral lists this ribosomal RNA (253 nucleotides) under uncultured bacterium. RNAcentral describes it as "partial 16S ribosomal RNA". It matches the Rfam family "Bacterial small subunit ribosomal RNA", at positions 524 to 776 of the family's 1533-position model. The record is from RNAcentral.